CGGCGAGUGAAGAGGAAAGAGCUCAAAGUUGGAACCUGUUUGGCUUAGCUAAACCGGAUUGUAAACUGUAGAAGUGUUUUCCAGACACGCCUGGUAAAAAAGUCCUUUGGAACAGGGCAUCAUAGAGGGUGAGAAUCCCGUCUUUGGCCAGAGCUGUUGUCUUUUGUGAUACAUUUUCAAAGAGUCAGGUUGUUUGGGAAUGCAGCCUAAAUUGGGUGGUAAAUCUCACCUAAAGCUAAAUAUUUGCGAGAGACCGAUAGCGAACAAGUACCGUGAGGGAAAGAUGAAAAGAACUUUGAAAAGAGAGUUAAACAGUAUGUGAAAUUGUUAAAAGGGAACCGUUUGGAGCCAGACUGGCUUGACUGUAAUCAAUCUAGGCUUCGGCCUGGAUGCACUUGCGGUUUAUGCCUGCCAACGACAAUUUUUUUUGAGGGAAAAAACUAUUAGGAAUGUGGCCCCCCUCGGGGGGUGUUAUAGCCUUUUAGAAAAUACCUUGAAUUGGAUUGAGGAACGCAGUGAAUGCCUUUAGGCAAGAUUGCUGGGCGCUUUCGCUAAUAAAUGCUAGAAUUUCUGCUUCGGGUGGUGCUAGUGUUUAAAGGAGAAACUCGUCUGGUAUAUUU
Molecule: ribosomal RNA, 620 nt
Filed under: uncultured Helicostylum
Lineage: Eukaryota; Fungi; Mucoromycota; Mucoromycetes; Mucorales; Mucoraceae
Description: eukaryotic LSU rRNA
Rfam family: Eukaryotic large subunit ribosomal RNA
Source: RNAcentral